CUGGAAGAGUCUGGCUGACUGGCAGAUCUGGAAGAGUCUGGCUGACUGGCGGAUCCUGGCAGACUGAAAGAUCUGGCUGCUCCAUGCUGACUGGCGGCUCUGGCUGCUCCACGCUGACUGGUGGCCCUGGCUGCUCCAUGUAGGCUGACAGCUCUGGCGGCUUCUUACAGACUGGCAGCUCUGGCGGCUCCGUGCAGGCUGGCAGCUCCUUGCAGACUGACAGCUCCUUACAGACUGACAGCUCCUUGCAGACUGACAGCUCCUUGCAGACUGACAGCUCCCUGCAGACUGGCAGCUCCUUGCAGACUGGCAGCUCCUUGCAGACUGGAAGCUCCUUGCAGACUGGCAGCUCUGGCUGCUCCAUGCAGACUGACAGCUCUGGCUGCUUCAUGCAGACUGGCAGCUCUGGCUGCUCCAUGCAGACUGACAGCUCUGGCUGCUUCAUGCAGACUGACAGCUCUGGCUGCUCCAUGUAGACUGGCAGCUCUGGCUGCUCCAUGCAGACCGACAGCUCUGGCUGCUCCAUGCAGGCUGGCAGCUCUGGCUGCCCUGAACAGGCGGGAGACUCCAGCAGCGCUGUAGAGGAGGAAGGCUCUGGCUGCGCUGAACAGGCGGGAGACUCCGGCAGUGCAGGAGAGGAGAAAGGCUCUGACAGCGCUGGAGAGGCGAGGCGCACUGUAGGCCUGAUGCGUGGUGCUGGUACUGGUGGUACUGGACCGAGGACAUGCACAGGAAGCCUGGUGCGGGGAGCUGCCACCGGAGGGCUGGUGUGUGGAGGUGGUACUGGAUAGACCGGACCAUGCAGGCGCACUGGAGCUCUUGAGCACCGAGCCUGCACAACCUUACCUGGCUUGAUGCCCACUCUAGCCCGGCCGAUACGCGGAGCUGGAAUAUACCGCACCGGGCUAUGCACCCGCACUGGGGACACCGUGCGCACCACUGCAUAACACGGUGCCUGUCCGGUCUCUCUAGCCCCCCGGUAAGCACAGGGAGUUUGCGCAGGUCCCCUACCUGGCGUAGCCAUACUCCCUGUGAGCCCCCAAUACAUUUUUAGGGCUGACUCUCGGGCUUCCAUCCGCGCCGCCGUGCUUGCUUCGCCAACUCCAUUCUCCGAUAACCCUCUUCACACUGCUCCAUCGAAUCCCAGGCGGGCUCCGGCACUCUCCCUGGGUCGACCGCCCCCCUGUCUAUCUCCUCCCAAGAAGUAUAGUCCAUACUGUACUCCUCUUUGGGCUGCUCCUGCUGCCUCUUCUCCUGCUGCACCUUUGGGCGGCUACACUCCCCUGGUUUAGCCCAGGGUCCUCUACCGUCGAGGAUUUCCUCCCAUGUCCAGAAAUCCUUAUUACGCAUCUCCUCUUUGGGCUGCUCCUGCCUGUUGACACGCUGCUUGGUCCUUUUGUGGUGGGUGAUUCUGUAACGGUUUUCAUGUGGUGAAGGAGAGUCGGACCAAAAUGCAGCGUGUAGAUUGCGAUCCAUGUUUAAUGAACAAACGUAACACGAAUCUAAAUACAAACACUACAAAACAAUAAACGUAACGAAAACCGAAACAGCCUAUACUUGUGUAAACUAACACAGAGACAGGAACAAGGACACUAAGGACAAUCACCCACGAAAAACUCAAAGAAUAUGGCUGCCUAAUUAUGGUUCCCAGUCAGAGACAACGAUAAACAUCUGCCUCUGAUUGAGAACCACUUCAGACAGCCAUAGACUUAACUAGAACACCCCACUAGCUACAAUCCCAAUACAUACACACCACAUACAAAAACCCAUGCCACACCCUGGCCUGACCAAAUACAUGAAGAUAAAUACAAAAUACUUCGACCAGGGCGUGACAAUCUGGGUAGUUUAUCUUUAUAUCUAAGUAGUUUAGAUGAGGUAGUUUAUCUUUAUAUCUUGGUAGUUUAUUUUUAUAUCUAGGUAGUUUAUCUUUAUAUCUAAGUAGUUUAUAUGAGGUAGUUUAUCUUUAUAUCUAGGUAGUUUAUCUUUAUAUCUAGGUAGUUUAUCUUUAUAUCUAAGUAGUUUAUAUGAGGUAGUUUAUCUUUAUAUCUAGGUAGUUUAUCUUUAUAUCUAGGUAGUUUAUCUUUAUAUCCAGGUAGUUUAUCUUUAUAUCUAGGACAUUUAUAUCUAGGUAGUUUAUAUCUAUAUAGUUUAUCUUUAUAUCCAGAUAGUUUAUCUUUAAAUCUAGGUCGUUUUUAUCUAGGUAGUUUAUCUUUAUAUCUUGGUAGUUUAUAUGAGGUAGUUUAUCUUUAUAUCCAGGUAGUUUAUCUUUAAAUCUAGGUCGUUUUUAUCUAGGUAGUUUAUCUUUAUAUCUAGGUAGUUUAUAUCUAGGUAGUUUAUCUUUAUAUCUAGGUACUUUAUCUUUAUAUCUAGGUAGUUUAUAUCCAGGUAGUUUAUCUUUAUAUCUAGGUAGUUUAUCUCUAUAUCCAUGUAGUUUAUCUUUAUAUCUAGGUAGUUUAUAUCCAGGUAGUUUAUCUUUAUAUCUAGGUAGUUUAUCUUUAUAUCUAGGUAGUUUAUCUCUAUAUCCAUGUAGUUUAUCUUUAUAUCUCGGUAGUUUAUCUUUAUAUCCAGGUAGUUUAUCUUUAUAUCUAGGUAGUUUAUAUCUAG
Oncorhynchus tshawytscha (Chinook salmon) is the source of this 2604-nucleotide long non-coding RNA. The record is from Ensembl. Lineage: Eukaryota; Metazoa; Chordata; Actinopteri; Salmoniformes; Salmonidae.